Molecule: ribosomal RNA, 480 nt
Filed under: Triticum aestivum (bread wheat)
Lineage: Eukaryota; Viridiplantae; Streptophyta; Magnoliopsida; Poales; Poaceae
Description: partial small subunit ribosomal RNA
Source: RNAcentral
AUGGGACUCAGUGUGGACACCCCUUUCUUCACAUUAGAACUGGAGCAUGGUGGACUAUUUUGUGCACCAAUAAAUAACAUGGAGUACUAUAAUCCUUCAGUGGAGGUGCUUGACUAUGUUGAUGCUGGCACGUUCUCAUAUGCAGUCAUUGAAGAGCACCUGCUAUGGUUGGGAUAUCCUGUCAAUGAGCACAUCAUUUAUUGGUGCAUGCUUGACAAAACAGUUUCAGAUGGUAUGCUCAGAAUCAGAGGUGAUGAGGAUGUGAAGCAAAUGAUAACAGCCAGUGCUCAGCAUAAGGUUCUUGCAAUCAUGGUUGAUCAUUCAGAUUUCAUCAGUAAUUUCAGGCAAGAUUUGAUAUGUACAGUGGGAGCAGUAGAGAAUUCUGUCAGAGUGGUAAACCCAAAUGUUGUUGCAGCCAGUGCAGCUAGUUCUCGCAGCAUCAUUUCAUCAAUGCUGAAGAUCCAAUUUCAGAGUUUGUAG